Unclassified non-coding RNA from Callithrix jacchus (white-tufted-ear marmoset), 326 nucleotides. It matches the Rfam family "Metazoan signal recognition particle RNA". Rfam says of the family: The signal recognition particle (SRP) is a universally conserved ribonucleoprotein. Lineage: Eukaryota; Metazoa; Chordata; Mammalia; Primates; Cebidae. The record is from Ensembl.
GCUGGGUAUGGUGGUGUGUGCCUGUAAUCCCAGCUACUUGGGAGGCUGAGGCAGGAGAAUUGCUUGAACCCAGGAGGCGGAGGUUGCAGUGAGCUGAGAUCGUGCCAUUGCACUCCAGCCUGGGUAACGAGCAAAACUCCAUCUCAAGAAAAAAAAAUAUGGUGACCACCAGGGAGCAUGGGACCACCAGGUUGCCUAAGGAGGGGUGAACUGGUUCAGAUUGGAAACAAAGCGGGUCAAAACUUCUGUGCUGGUCAGUAGUGGGAUCACACCUGUGAAUUACCACUGCACUCCAGCCUGGGCAACAUAGCAAGACCCUAUCUUUA